This is a long non-coding RNA of Perognathus longimembris pacificus (Pacific pocket mouse), 348 nucleotides long. RefSeq lists it as uncharacterized. Lineage: Eukaryota; Metazoa; Chordata; Mammalia; Rodentia; Heteromyidae. The transcript has 3 exons. The record is from RefSeq and is a predicted model, not a curated record.
GCUCUUACGAUAUGGUGUCUAAAGGACAUCAGAAUGGUCCAGCGAUUGACAUACCGCUGUAGGCUUUCCUACAACACAGCCUCUAACAAAACCAGGCUGUCCCGAACCCCUGGCAACAGAAUUGUUUACCUUUACACAAAAAAAGUCGGGAAAGCACCCAAAUCUGCAUGUGGUGUGUGCCCAGGCCGACUCCAGGGGGUUCGUGCUGUGAGACCUAAAGUCCUCAUGCGAUAGGCUAAAUAAGAAGAGGUAGCUGCUUGUGUGUGCUUAGGAUGCAAGAGGUCUAUAAAUUGCUAGCAAAGAAAGAACCUUUUUGAUAAAUAAAAAGGCUUGCAUAAUAAAAUGUUA